UGGAAUUUGGGAACUAUCUGUGAAUAC
This 27-nucleotide non-coding RNA is filed under the name Homo sapiens (human). Lineage: Eukaryota; Metazoa; Chordata; Mammalia; Primates; Hominidae. The record is from RNAcentral.